This is a long non-coding RNA of Musa acuminata AAA Group (dessert banana), 677 nucleotides long. RefSeq lists it as uncharacterized. The record is from RefSeq and is a predicted model, not a curated record. NCBI's taxonomy places the organism in Eukaryota, Viridiplantae, Streptophyta, Magnoliopsida, Zingiberales, Musaceae. The transcript has 4 exons.
CAGAGGAGGCGGUUACUUCGACCUCUGCCUCGUCUUCUUGCUUCGUCGUCGGCGGAGCUGAUGGCGCGGCGAUUAAGGGAGAGCGGCCCUUUGAUCCCUCGUUCGUUCGUUCGUCAGCUUGGCCUUCUUCUCAAGGUUGAAUCCUGUCUUUCUCCUGACAUGUUCUUGAAUAUAACGAACGGGAACCAACGACGAAACCCUCUGUGUCGAUCAAGAUUCAAGGGGUUUUGUUGUGUCUGUUAAUCGAUCGACGAGCCGACCGCACACCGAUUCUGGAUCGGUUUCCUUCUUGUAAAGAACAGAGUUCUGGAUCGAUCCGGCAUGAAGAUGACGUGCUUCUGCGGAGCGGAUGGGUGGUGCGAUCUCGCUUGUGCUCGGUAGCCAUGACAAUCUAUGUUGCUAGCGAGGCUUUCAAGGUGCCAUGGAGACGUCUAUGGAGGUUCAACUUCUUGCGGAGAAGUGGAAGCUUCUGCUCGCUUGACUCUCUGUUUCAGUGUGUACAUGGUUUGGCAGCGCGUGGGAUGGACCGGACUUACUGGAUCUUGGAUUUAUGAUACUUUCGGAACCUGGGAAAGAAAGAGGUCGUACCUUCAUCCUUUUGCUCUUGCAUAGUGGUUUGUUAAUCUUAAUUUCUUUGUUAAGUCGCUGAUAGCUUGCAUGAUCUAUUGUAAAUGCGC